RNAcentral lists this ribosomal RNA (396 nucleotides) under uncultured Glomeromycotina. RNAcentral's name for it is "SSU rRNA". It matches the Rfam family "Eukaryotic small subunit ribosomal RNA", at positions 569 to 970 of the family's 1831-position model. Lineage: Eukaryota; Fungi; Glomeromycota. The record is from RNAcentral.
AGCAGCCGCGGUAAUUCCAGCUCCAAUAGCGUAUAUUAAAGUUGUUGCAGUUAAAAAGCUCGUAGUUGAAUUUCGGGAUCAAUAUAACGGUCAUGCCGUUGGUAUGCACUGUUAUAAUUGAUUUCUCACCUUCUAAAGAACCGUAAUGCCAUUAAUUUGGUGUCACGGGGAAUUAGGACUGUUACCUUGAAAAAUUAGAGUGUUUAAAGCAGGCUCACGCUUGAAUACAUUAGCAUGGAAUAAUGAAAUAGGACAUCCGAUUCUAUUUUGUUGGUUUCUAGGAUCGAUGUAAUGAUUAAUAGGAUAGUUGGGGGCAUUAGUAUUCAAUUGUCAGAGGUGAAAUUCUUGGAUUUAUUGAAGACUAACUACUGCGAAAGCAUUUGCCAAGGAUGUUUU